Molecule: ribosomal RNA, 523 nt
Filed under: uncultured Glomeromycotina
Lineage: Eukaryota; Fungi; Glomeromycota
Description: SSU rRNA
Rfam family: Eukaryotic small subunit ribosomal RNA
Source: RNAcentral
GCAGCCGCGGUAAUUCCAGCUCCAAUAGCGUAUAUUAAAGUUGUUGCAGUUAAAAAGCUCGUAGUUGAAUUUCGGGAUCAGCAGGUCGGUCGCGCCUCCGGUGUGUACUGGCCUAGCUGGUUUCUCCCUUCUGACGAACCACGAUGUCAUUAAUUUGGUGUCGCGGGGAAUCAGGACUGUUACUUUGAAAAAAUUAGAGUGUUUAAAGCAGGCUAAGGCUUGAAUACAUUAGCAUGGAAUAAUGAAAUAGGACGUUUGAUCUUAUUUUGUUGGUUUCUAGGAUCGACGUAAUGAUUAAUAGGGAUAGUUGGGGGCAUUAGUAUUCAAUUGUCAGAGGUGAAAUUCUUGGAUUUAUUGAAGACUAACUACUGCGAAAGCAUUUGCCAAGGAUGUUUUCAUUAAUCAAGAACGAAAGUUAGGGGAUCGAAGACGAUCAGAUACCGUCGUAGUCUUAACCAUAAACUAUGCCGACUAGGGAUCGGAUGAUGUUAAUUUUUUAAUGACUCAUUCGGCGCCUUACGGG